This 253-nucleotide ribosomal RNA is filed under the name uncultured bacterium. RNAcentral describes it as "partial 16S ribosomal RNA". It matches the Rfam family "Bacterial small subunit ribosomal RNA", at positions 524 to 776 of the family's 1533-position model. The record is from RNAcentral.
UACAGAGGGGGCAAGCGUUGUUCGGAAUUACUGGGCGUAAAGGGCGCGUAGGCGGCCUUCUAAGUCGAACGUGAAAUCCCCGGGCUCAACCCGGGAACUGCGUCCGAUACUGGAAGGCUUGAAUCCGGGAGAGGGAUGCGGAAUUCCAGGUGUAGCGGUGAAAUGCGUAGAUAUCUGGAGGAACACCGGUGGCGAAGGCGGCAUCCUGGACCGGUACUGACGCUGAGGCGCGAAAGCGUGGGGAGCAAACAGG